RNAcentral lists this long non-coding RNA (1899 nucleotides) under Capsicum annuum. RNAcentral's name for it is "long non-coding RNA (CANN_LNC003280)". The record is from RNAcentral. Lineage: Eukaryota; Viridiplantae; Streptophyta; Magnoliopsida; Solanales; Solanaceae.
GUAAAGUAGUGAAGUGUUCUCGAGGUUAGAUAGGUGUUUUAUCUUCCUAUGAGAUUGUAAAACGUUGACUUGUUGGUUGAAUUUAUUUAGUCUUUCCAAUUCUAAAACUUUGGCAAGUGGUGUAUUCCUGUAUUUGGGUUGUAAAGGAAGCUUGAAUAUGGUGACUUUGUUACCAUGUUUAAAGCUCUUGCCUAAGAAAAUCUACUUGUCUACGCAUAUUCUCGCCUCUCUCGUUCUCUCUAUAUGAUAAUCUGAAGAUAUUCGCGAAGUUUUUAAUCAUAAUGAUAUUCUCGCCUCUCUCGUUCUCUCUAUAUGAUAAUCUGAAGAUAUUCGCGAAGUUUUUAAUCAUAAUGAUAUGCAACAAAUCAUAUAACUUUCCUUGCUCGUUCUCUUUUGGUCUAAAUAAAUAUAUUGAUAACCUGAGGGUGAAAUAGUUUUCUAUAUAUGCAAUCCUAUGGCUGAGAAAAGAAUGAUCCCUCGUUAAAAUUAUGUGAUGUUUGCUUUGAUGUGAUUGUUUUUCGUAGCCCCAAAUGAAUACUAAGGACGUAUGUUCCCAAUCCCUCUUAUUUGUUUGCCUUAUUUGUUUACGGUUGAUUAACAUUUGCUUAGGAUGUACAAUCAAUCACCUUUCUUUCUUUUAGUUUACUGUAUAGUGGUUUAAAAUUAGAUAUGAAUAAUAACUCUUAGAAAAUAGGAUUCUAUUAACUUAUGAUUUAUUUUUUCUUUGAUCUUUUGUCAACUUUCCCUCUCCCUUGUUAAAUAUUUAAAGCAUCCACUCAAUGACCUCGCUUGGCGAAAGAUUUUCAUAGUGUUAAAUGUAAUUGUUUGACUGCACUCGCUCGGAAUUAUGAAGCUUUUCUUUGAAUCCAGCUUGUCUUCUCUACGAACUUGAAUUUUUGUGGUCAUAUGCUUUCCCCAGUUCGUGAAGUAUAUUUUUUCCUGUAUUCGUUGCUUGUAUAUCCUUUACAGUAUCGUAAGUCCUCUCUCAUGUUAAGCCGACAGUUUGAACUGAGUAUAAAUUCUGUUAUACUUUCUCUUUGCAUGAACUUGCCUUGGAGUCCAACUGGACUCAAUUUUGCCUUGCAUUUUCUGCAUGGCCAAUGAAGCCCAUCUUCUCGAGUCAAGAUUCAGAAUAAGUCCGAAAUCAACUACAUAGCGCAUAAAUGCAAGGAGUCGAAAGAAAAAGAAUGAGUUAAAGUCCACUUUAAGGCGGCUAAAAGACUUGAAUGUCUCAUUUUAUUUAUUUAUUCAUUCAUUUCAUUGUUGUGUUUAAUUAUUUAUUUAUUUAUUUAUUUAUUUAUUUAUUUAUUCAUUUCAUUAUUCAGUCAUUUGGGCUUCGAAGCCAAAGUUGUAAAUUUAAUACAGGUGGAACAGAUUUUGGGCCAACAGGCCUGAAAAUAUAGUUUAGGGCAUGUUACGGGCUAAGGCCCAACAUUUAGAUUAGGACAGGUGCAAGUGGGCCAAAAGCCCAAUUAGAUUAGAGGAAAAUUUUCAGAAAUAGCAACUAUAUAACAUUAAUUGUAACUUUUAUAACAACAGUUUCAUAAUUACGAAAAAUAGCAAAUUGUAUUUUGUAUUUAAGUAAACUGUUGCUAUACAAAUAUAUAUAUAUACAACAAGAUUUACUGUCCUUAUUUUACUCAAAUUAGUUAAUUUAAAUAUGGAAUAUUUAUCUCAUCUAAUUAAAUUCUCAUAAAUUACUCUUAUUUAAAUUAGUAGAUUCCUUUUCUAAAUCAAACUCAAAUAUGAAGAUUAUUGUUUCUAUGAUCUUCAAAAUUUUAAAAUAUCAUUCUUUUAUAUUUCUAGCUAUUUUUUCUUGUUAGUUUUUUCAUUUUUUUUAUCUUUUUUUUAUUUUAAUUUCUUUUCUUUUUUCAUUUUUGUAUUUCUACUUUAUUUUCU